Molecule: transfer RNA, 76 nt
Filed under: Candidatus Falkowbacteria bacterium CG_4_10_14_0_2_um_filter_41_15
Lineage: Bacteria; Candidatus Falkowiibacteriota
Also listed under: 2 other names
Description: tRNA-Thr
Rfam family: tRNA
About the family: Transfer RNA (tRNA) molecules are approximately 80 nucleotides in length. Their secondary structure includes four short double-helical elements and three loops (D, anti-codon, and T loops). Further hydrogen bonds mediate the characteristic L-shaped molecular structure. tRNAs have two regions of fundamental functional importance: the anti-codon, which is responsible for specific mRNA codon recognition, and the 3' end, to which the tRNAs corresponding amino acid is attached (by aminoacyl-tRNA synthetases). tRNAs cope with the degeneracy of the genetic code in two manners: having more than one tRNA (with a specific anti-codon) for a particular amino acid; and 'wobble' base-pairing, i.e. permitting non-standard base-pairing at the 3rd anti-codon position.
Source: RNAcentral
GCCGUUGUAGCUCAGCUGGUAGAGCAUCUCCAUGGUAAGGAGAAGGUCAUCGGUUCAAUCCCGAUCAACGGCUCAA